UACGGAGGGUGCAAGCGUUAUCCGGAAUCACUGGGCUUAAAGGGCGCGUAGGCGGGUUUCAAGUCAGGGGUGAAAUACUCCAGCUCAACUGGAGAAGUGCUUUUGAUACUGGAAAUCUCGAGUGAGGUAGGGGCAUGUGGAACUUCCGGUGGAGCGGUGAAAUGCGUAGAUAUCGGAAGGAACGCCGGUGGCGAAAGCGACGUGCUGGACCUCUUCUGACGCUGAGGCGCGAAAGCGUGGGGAGCGAACAGG
RNAcentral lists this ribosomal RNA (252 nucleotides) under uncultured bacterium. RNAcentral's name for it is "partial 16S ribosomal RNA". It matches the Rfam family "Bacterial small subunit ribosomal RNA", at positions 524 to 776 of the family's 1533-position model. The record is from RNAcentral.